CAGUAGCCGCGGUAAUACGUAGGUGGCAAGCGUUGUCCGGAAUUAUUGGGCGUAAAGCGUGCGCAGGCGGUUCGUUAAGACAGAUGUGAAAUCCCCGGGCUUAACCUGGGAACUGCAUUUGUGACUGGCGGGCUAGAGUAUGGCCGAGGGGGGUAGAAUUCCACGUGUAGCAGUGAAAUGCGUAGAGAUGUGGAGGAAUACCGAUGGCGAAGGCAGCCCCCUGGGCCAAUACUGACGCUCAUGCACGAAAGCGUGGGGAGCAAACAGGAUUAGAUACCCCAGUAGUCCCUGUCUCUUAUAC
Molecule: ribosomal RNA, 301 nt
Filed under: uncultured bacterium
Lineage: Bacteria
Description: partial 16S ribosomal RNA
Rfam family: Bacterial small subunit ribosomal RNA
Source: RNAcentral